This 490-nucleotide ribosomal RNA is filed under the name uncultured bacterium. RNAcentral describes it as "partial 16S ribosomal RNA". It matches the Rfam family "Bacterial small subunit ribosomal RNA", at positions 28 to 507 of the family's 1533-position model. The record is from RNAcentral.
GAUGAACGCUUGCGAUAGGCUUAACACAUGCAAGUCGAGGGGCAGCAUGGUCUUAGCUUGCUAAGACUGAUGGCGACCGGCGCACGGGUGCGUAACGCGUAUGCAACUUGCCUCACAGAGGGGGAUAACCCGUCGAAAGACGGACUAAUACCGCGUACACUUGGGAUAGGGCAUCCUGACCCAAGGAAAUGAAAUUCGCUGUGAGAUAGGCACGCGUCCCAUUAGCUAGUUGGUGAGGUAACGGCUCACCAAGGCGACGAUGGGGAGGGGAACUGAGAGGUUGAACCCCCACACUGGUACUGAGACACGGACCAGACUCCUACGGGAGGCAGCAGUGAGGAAUAUGGGUCAAUGGGCGAGAGCCUGAACCAGCCAAGUCGCGUGAAGGAUGACUGUCUUAUGGAUUGUAAACUUCUUUUAUACGGGAAUAACAAGAGCCACGUGUGGCUCCCUGCAUGUACCGUAUGAAUAAGCAUCGGCUAACUCCGUG